This 492-nucleotide ribosomal RNA is filed under the name uncultured bacterium. Its description in RNAcentral is "partial 16S ribosomal RNA". It matches the Rfam family "Bacterial small subunit ribosomal RNA", at positions 29 to 507 of the family's 1533-position model. The record is from RNAcentral.
AGUGAACGCUGGCGGUAGGCCUAACACAUGCAAGACGAACGGCAGCACAGUAAGAGCUUGCUCUUACGGGUGGCGAGUGGCGGACGGGUGAGGAAUACAUCGGAAUCUACUUUUUCGUGGGGGAUAACGUAGGGAAACUUACGCUAAUACCGCAUACGACCUACGGGUGAAAGCAGGGGAUCUUCGGACCUUGCGCGAUUGAAUGAGCCGAUGUCGGAUUAGCUAGUUGGCGGGGUAAAGGCCCACCAAGGCGACGAUCCGUAGCUGGCCUGAGAGGAUGAUCAGCCACACUGGAACUGAGACACGGUCCAGACUCCUACGGGAGGCAGCAGUGGGGAAUAUUGGACAAUGGGCGCAAGCCUGAUCCAGCCAUACCGCGUGGGUGAAGAAGGCCUUCGGGUUGUAAAGCCCUUUUGUUGGGAAAGAAAAGCAGCAGGUUAAUACCCCGCUGUUCUGACGGUACCCAAAGAAUAGGCACCGGCUAACUUCGUG